UGGGGAAUCUUCCGCAAUGGACGAAAGUCUGACGGAGCAACGCCGCGUGAGUGAAGAAGUUAUUCGGAUCGUAAAACUCUGUCUUUUGGGGCGAACGUGAGUAUGGUGAACAAUCAUAGUCAGUGACGGUACCAAAGGAGGAAGCCACGGCUAACUACGUGCCAGCAGCCGCGGUAAUACGUAGGUGGCAAGCGUUGUCCGGAAUUAUUGGGCGUAAAGAGCGCGUAGGCGGGAUAGUCAGUCUGUUGUAAAAGUGCGGGGCUCAACCCCGUGAUGGCAAUGGAAACAGCUAUUCUUGAGUGCAGGAGAGGAAAGUGGAAUUCCCAGUGUAGCGGUGAAAUGCGUAGAUAUUGGGAGGAACACCAGUGGCGAAGGCGACUUUCUGGACUGUGUCUGACGCUGAGGCGCGAAAGCCAGGGGAGCGAACGGGAUUAGAUACCCCCGGUAGUCCUGGCCGUAAACGAUGGGUACUAGGUGUGGGAGGUAUCGACCCCUUCCGUGCCGGAGUUAACGCAAUAAGUACCCCGCCUGGGGAGUACGGUCGCAAGACUGAAACUUAAAGGAAUUGACGGGGUCAUAGCUGUUUCCUG
RNAcentral lists this ribosomal RNA (590 nucleotides) under uncultured bacterium. RNAcentral's name for it is "partial 16S ribosomal RNA". It matches the Rfam family "Bacterial small subunit ribosomal RNA", at positions 355 to 1376 of the family's 1533-position model. The record is from RNAcentral.